GUUGCAUCUGGGGGGAGUCAGAUUUAGGUUCACUAAGCGACAGUGGCCCCUCCUCGGCAGAUAUGGAGGGGAGCAGCAACAGCCCCCUGCCCAAAACCACCAGCACCUACAGCUUCCCAGACACCAACUCCACCACCACGUCCUAUGAGAGCGCUGAGGAGACCCAGGACGACCUGGAGAACCCGGUGCUGACCUCCCAGCUGACUCAGAGCCAGAGCUUUGAUGGGGCAGGUAGCGCCAUUGAGGGGUUCAGGUUGGGACCGGACUCAGGUUCAUCCAGAAGUGUGAGUAACAUAGAACAUAAUGUGGAGAGGGAGCAGGACAUGGGGAGAGUCUUCCGGUCUCUGAGCAGGAGGAAGAGUAGCUAUUCUGUCUCUCUGUUGAAGAGUUACAGUUCCAAAAUAUCUCUUUCCAGAAGGACGUCCUCCACUAGCUCCACUAUCAAGCCCUGUCCUCCCAUCCACCCUACCUACGUGAAGAUCACCACCAGGCAGCUGACCCAUAGGCUCACCAAGCCAGAGCCCUCGUAGGGCAGGAUUUGGGGGCCACAAGCCCCAGGGAUGGAGAACCCCCAGGCAGAGGUCCUGCAGUAUCGCCGGGCCUUUCAGUCAUUCUGCAGACUGGACCAAGGAUAUGGAAGGCCUCAGAUUGAGGCAUGAGGCCGCCACUGACCUCCAGGAGCGUGGGGGUUCAGAGAGAGGCUUUCCAGGGGCGAGUCUGACCCCAUGCACCAGACAAUGCCUCUCAGGUGUCCAGACCACUACCACAGGACCCUAUCAAGAUGUCUUCUCUGGUCUCGCCCUGUUGGAGCGUCUAUGUCUGCAGGAGGGGGAGCGAACGGAGGACCAGCUAUAUUUCUGGGCUACUUUCGGCCUGCCCUCCCACCUCUGGGUGCCCCAUGAAGGGCAUACCGCAGGCCGCAUCAAGGCCUUGAGGCCCCCUCCACAGCCAGCUCAGGACCCGAGCCCUAGGACCUGAGCUCCAGGACUACCUGACAUGAUGACUCCUUGCUGUCCCCAGUCCACCUGGCC
Long non-coding RNA from Oncorhynchus tshawytscha (Chinook salmon), 1031 nucleotides. NCBI's taxonomy places the organism in Eukaryota, Metazoa, Chordata, Actinopteri, Salmoniformes, Salmonidae. The record is from Ensembl.